Molecule: ribosomal RNA, 277 nt
Filed under: uncultured bacterium
Lineage: Bacteria
Description: partial 16S ribosomal RNA
Rfam family: Bacterial small subunit ribosomal RNA
Source: RNAcentral
GAUGAACGCUGGCGGCGUACCUAACGCAUGCAAGUCGAACGGGGGAGCGCGUAGCAAUACGAACUUCCUAGUGGCAAACGGGUGAGUAACACGUGGGGAUCUACCUUCGAGUGGGGAAUAACGAGCCGAAAGGUUCGCUAAUACCGCAUACGGUCGGGAGACGAAAGGUCGAGGCAACUCGGUCGCUCGGAGAGGAACCUGCGGUCGAUCAGGUAGUUGGUGAGGUAACGGCUCACCAAGCCGCUGACCGAUAGCUGAUCUGAGAGGAUGACCAGCC